UCCUCUUUGUUAAAUCUGGGUCGUUCAUUUAAGGAGACGUGGUUCAUUCUCAGCUGUUAUAUUAAUCCUAUCUAGGGAAUGAAUCUAGACCGCACGAUCAAAUAAAAUCAAGACCAUUCGAUCGUACCUUAAAGGGAAAUAAAUCUGGACUGUCCGUGAGCGUGGGAGGAGAUCUGGACUAUUGGAUCUGCUAGCAUGAGGAUCGCCUGCGUGACCUCCGAACAUGGACACGUGCCCACGUGUCU
RNAcentral lists this long non-coding RNA (245 nucleotides) under Carica papaya (papaya). RNAcentral describes it as "long non-coding RNA (CPAP_LNC002720)". Lineage: Eukaryota; Viridiplantae; Streptophyta; Magnoliopsida; Brassicales; Caricaceae. The record is from RNAcentral.